AGUAAGUUGGCAGAUUAAUGCAAUUGAUUUAGGAUCAAUGAAUGUAAAAAAUUUACACUUACUA
RNAcentral lists this transfer RNA (64 nucleotides) under Goniada japonica. Its description in RNAcentral is "tRNA-Leu". The record is from RNAcentral. Lineage: Eukaryota; Metazoa; Annelida; Polychaeta; Phyllodocida; Goniadidae.